This is a non-coding RNA of Maylandia zebra (zebra mbuna), 279 nucleotides long. Lineage: Eukaryota; Metazoa; Chordata; Actinopteri; Cichliformes; Cichlidae. The record is from RefSeq and is a predicted model, not a curated record.
GCGGUCAUGGAGAGUCUCCAUCCAGCUGGAUCACUGUCACAGACAAACACACCACCACACCUCCACCUACAUCCACUUCUCCUCCUUCCUCCAUCGCUAGCCCUGGUUCCCCUCUCAUACCUGUGUUGUCAUCUGUUGGAUCAGUCUGUUUUCUGAUCCUACUGGUGUUACUGGUUUUGUUGAUUAGACAACAUGUUCACAGGAAACCUAAAGAUCAAGCUGUGAAAGAAGAGAUCACAUACAGUGACAUUAGAAUAAAACACCGUCAACAACAACCAC